Non-coding RNA from Pelobates cultripes (western spadefoot toad), 752 nucleotides. The record is from the annotation of a GenBank genome assembly. Lineage: Eukaryota; Metazoa; Chordata; Amphibia; Anura; Pelobatidae.
GGGAGAUGAGAACGUAGGGGAGGGAGAGACCACUAAAGGAGGGAGGGGCGGUGGAGAGACCACUAGGGGAGGGGUGUGAGGUGAGACCGCUAAGGGAGGGGGGUGGAGGAUAGACCACUAGGGGAGGGUGGGGGGAGAGGAGAGACCACUAAGGGGCAGGGGAGAUCUCUAAGGAAUGGAAGGGAGAGCACUAUAGGACAGGGGGACAGGGAGCUCUUUCACACCACGCGCGCACACACACACACACACACACACACAAUGCAUCCCUAUACACACAGAAACACAACAUGCUUCCCUUACACACAGAGAAACACACAAUGCAACCCUUACACAUAAAGACAAUGCAACCUUUGCACAUAUACACAGAAACACACAAUGCAUCCCUUACACACACAUGCAAACACACACUGCUUCUCUUACACACACACACAGAAACACAAUGCAUCUUACACACACUCAACGCACCCCUUACAGACACACACACUGCAUCCCUUACAUACAAAAAAACACACUUUGCAUCCCUUAUGCAUACAAACACAGAUUCACACAAUGCAUCCCUUACACAAUACAUCCCUUAUACACACACACACUGCUUCCACUACACACAAACACACUGCAUCACCUACACAAACUGGUAUCCCUAUACACUACAUUCCGUAAGCACACACAUUAGAUCCUCUACAGUAACACAUAACAAAUCCCCUACACACUCUACUCCCUGUGAGUUCAUGGGUGGAACAUGUAGGUGGACU